CCUCACCUAAUUUCUUUUUUCGUCUUCUCUCGCGGGAAACCCUAGCUGCAUUUUUCUUUCCUAAACCGUAUCUAACAUUUGCCUACUGCGAGUCUGCGACAGCGGUCAACAAAGUGAGCUCCGCUUGAGGGAAGGAGAUAGAUGAUGGAUGCAGCCGAGGAGAUCCCCCCAACUGGCCAGCCUCGAGAAGAAACCACAAGAGGAUGGCGAGCCCCAGAACAGCCAGCAGCAGUGGCCAAGGUUUUCGACGACGACAACCUCCUCUGGGAGAUCAUUGUCUGGGUUGGCUUACCCACCACCCUCGUCCGUGCAGCCCUUGUAUGCAAACGAUGGCUCGGCCACGCCUCCGACACCAAGUUCUUAAGCUGUUUCCGCAAUUUCCACCCACCGCGCCUCCUCGGCUACUACAUCACACAGGUGUCGGAUUUGUUGUUAGGGGUGCUAGAUGCUCCACGCUUUGUCCCCGUGCUGCCUCAGCCCCCAGAGCUCGCCGCCAUCAUGCGUCGCUUAGAGAGCUACAGCUUCGGUACUAAGGAUAUCUGGGACUGCCGGAAUGGCAGCCUCUACACCCAUCGCGUGGAGGGAACAAGAUGGACAUAUGAAGUGCACCGCCCGCUAUGCGCUGAGAAAGGCAUACAGAUUGUCCCACCACUCCCGCCCGCAUCGGACUAUCAUCUCAAAAUAUUCAGUGCAACUGUCUCCAAAAAAGAAGGCAGUGUCUUGUCCUACGUGCAUGUGUUUUGGGAGUCUACCGAGGAGGAAGACAAGUUCAUGAUGCGCGUGUAUAUGCUGGUAGAAGGAGUGGUGCAUGCAUACCUCGGUCACAUGCAUCAAUGUUCUGCAUAUUUGCUCAGCAGAACCCCUGGUCGGUAACAAAAUCUUUAUGCCAAACACCAGUAGUAACAACAUUCUUUCAUUGGAUUUGAUGACCUCAAGUUUCUCCACAAUUCAACUCCCGCAAGGAGUGACGUAUCGCUGUUAUGAUAGCAUGUUAUCAUGGGAAGAUGACACUUCCAGUCUAUACCUCGUCCAUGUCGAGGAGUUCCAACUUCGCGCCUGGCUCUACAAGGGUCGCAACUGGUUACUUGUCGAUACCAUUUGCUUGCUUGAGAUGCUUGCUACUUUGGGGAUGUCAGAUCACACACUUGAGGAUGAAAGUAAUGCUGGUGUGCACAUAAGACAAGUGGGAGACAAUGGUCAGUUUGUACUUCUACAGAUAGGCCAAUGCAUAUUCAAUUUGGAUAUUAAGUGCAGGACAAUGUGUAAGGUGUAUGAGGAAACAACAAAUGAUCGACAUAUUGAUUCUAUCUAUCCUUUUAUGAUGAUCUGGCCUCCCACAUUCUCUCCCUCAAGGAUGACACUGCCAGGUCAGGAAAGUUGACAUGCUUGACGGUGUGACGAUCCUGCGGUCCGAGAAGGUCAAGGAUGAGAUCGUUCUUGAUGGCAACGACAUUGAGCUUGUCUCUCGCUCUGCUGCCCUAAUCAACCAGAAAUGCCACGUAAAGAAGGACAUCA
This is an RNA transcript of Lolium perenne, 1515 nucleotides long. It is a transcript of the gene named large ribosomal subunit protein uL6, with no coding region annotated. The record is from RefSeq and is a predicted model, not a curated record. NCBI's taxonomy places the organism in Eukaryota, Viridiplantae, Streptophyta, Magnoliopsida, Poales, Poaceae.